GGCCCCAUCGUAUAGCGGCCUAGUACGCUGCCCUCUCACGGCGGUAACACCGGUUCGAAUCCGGUUGGGGUCACAA
Molecule: transfer RNA, 76 nt
Filed under: Microbacteriaceae bacterium
Lineage: Bacteria; Bacillati; Actinomycetota; Actinomycetes; Micrococcales; Microbacteriaceae
Description: tRNA-Glu
Rfam family: tRNA
About the family: Transfer RNA (tRNA) molecules are approximately 80 nucleotides in length.
Source: RNAcentral